UACUAGAGUAGCACUCGCAUAUCAAUAAGCGGAGGAAAAGAAACUAACAAGGAUUCCCCUAGUAACGGCGAGUGAAGCGGGAAGAGCUCAAAUUUGAAAUCUUAAAGGGUUUCCCUUUACGAAUUGUAGUUUAAAGAAGUGUUUUCUGUUGAGGUUUUGGUAAAAGUUCUUUGGAAUAGGACAUCAUAGAGGGUGAGAAUCCCGUAUUUGACCUUUACUUUCAACUUUGUGAUACACUUUCAAAGAGUCGGAUUGUUUGGGAAUGCAGUCCAAAAUGGGUGGUAAAUUUCAUCUAAAGCUAAAUAUUGGCGAGAGACCGAUAGCGAACAAGUACCGUGAGGGAAAGAUGAAAAGAACUUUGAAAAGAGAGUUAAACAGUACGUGAAAUUGUCAAAAGGGAAGCGUUUGGACACCAGUGUUGUUUUUCUGAAAAUCAAUUAAAGAACUGUUUAUGCUAAGUUGUUUAGACUUUAUCAGCUAAUCUGCUUAGUUUUGAGCUUUUCUUUAAUGCACUUUUCAGUUAACAAGUCAACAUCAAUUUCUUUUACUGUAAAAAAGCUUGAGGAAGGUGGCUUGAGAUUCGUCUUAAGUGUUUAUAGCCUCUUGCCUAUGCAGUCGGAGAGAUUGAGGUCUGCAGCGUAGAUCCUUCGGGGCUAAAUGCAUUUGUGCUAAGUUAUAGCAUUUUAUAGACAACUUGUUGACUAUGAUUUGUCUUGUAGCUUACUCGCUUAUGUUAUUUUACCUACGCUUAGGAUGUUGAGUAGCGACAUACGCAC
This 776-nucleotide ribosomal RNA is filed under the name uncultured Neocallimastigales. RNAcentral describes it as "partial large subunit ribosomal RNA". It matches the Rfam family "Eukaryotic large subunit ribosomal RNA", at positions 20 to 645 of the family's 3401-position model. The record is from RNAcentral. Lineage: Eukaryota; Fungi; Neocallimastigomycota; Neocallimastigomycetes; Neocallimastigales.